UAUCUAAGAGGCUUGUGCAAGUUUCCUGAUGGGAGGGAUUUGUGGUAGUUAGAGCUGGGUGUUGCUCUGGUGGGUAGAGCUCAGUAAAAUUUUUAUCUGCUUGUCUGCUGAUGGGUGGGGCUGUGUUCCCUCCCUGGUGGUUAUUUGGCCUGAGGCGACCCAGCACUGGAGCCUACCCAGCUCUUUGGUGGGGCUAAUGGCAGACUCUGGGAAGGCUCAUGCCAAGGAGUACUUCCCAGAACUUCUGCUGCCAGUGUUCUUGUCCCCAAGGUGAGCCACAGCCACCCCCCGCCUCUGUAGGAGACCCUCCAACACUAGCAGAAAAUACCAUGGAGGGACUUCCCUGGUGGCACAGUGGAUAAGAAUCCACCUGCCAAUGCAGGGGACACGGGUUCGAUCCCUGGCCCGGGAAGAUCCCACAUGCCACGGAGCAACUAAGUCCGUGCGCCACAACUACUGAGCCUGCGCUGUAGAGCCACCAGCCACAAAUACUGAGACUGCAUGCCACAACUACUGAGCCUGCGAUCUAGAGCCUGUGAGCCACGAAUUCUGAGCCCGCACGCCUGGAGCCCGUGCCCCACAACAAGGGAAGCCACUGCAAUGAGAAGCCCGUGCACCGCAACGAAGAGUAGCCCUCGCUCGCCGCAACUAGAGAAAGCCCGCAGGCAGCAAUGAAGACCCAACGCAGCCAUAAAUAAAUAAUUAAAAACAAAAAACAAAAAACGAAAA
Orcinus orca (killer whale) is the source of this 729-nucleotide long non-coding RNA. RefSeq lists it as uncharacterized. The transcript is spliced from 2 exons. The record is from RefSeq and is a predicted model, not a curated record. NCBI's taxonomy places the organism in Eukaryota, Metazoa, Chordata, Mammalia, Artiodactyla, Delphinidae.